UACGGGGGGAGCAAGCGUUGUUCGGAUUUACUGGCGUAAAGGGCGCGUAGGCGGCCACCGCAAGUCGGUUGUGAAAUCUCCGGGCUUAACCCGGAAAGGUCAAUCGAUACUGCGGGGCUAGAGUGCAGAAGGGGCAACUGGGAAUUCUCGGUGUAGCGGUGAAAUGCGUAGAGAUCGGGAGGAACACCAGUGGCGAAGGCGGCUCGCUGGGCCGGUCCUGACACUGAGACGCGAAGGCGUGGGAGCGACGGG
RNAcentral lists this ribosomal RNA (252 nucleotides) under uncultured bacterium. RNAcentral's name for it is "partial 16S ribosomal RNA". It matches the Rfam family "Bacterial small subunit ribosomal RNA", at positions 524 to 775 of the family's 1533-position model. The record is from RNAcentral.